Molecule: ribosomal RNA, 81 nt
Filed under: Tetradymia canescens
Lineage: Eukaryota; Viridiplantae; Streptophyta; Magnoliopsida; Asterales; Asteraceae
Also listed under: 1 other name
Description: partial 5.8S ribosomal RNA
Rfam family: 5.8S ribosomal RNA
About the family: 5.8S ribosomal RNA (5.8S rRNA) is a component of the large subunit of the eukaryotic ribosome. It is transcribed by RNA polymerase I as part of the 45S precursor that also contains 18S and 28S rRNA. Functionally, it is thought that 5.8S rRNA may be involved in ribosome translocation.
Source: RNAcentral
CAAACGACUCUCGGCAACGGAUAUCUCGGCUCACGCAUCGAUGAAGAACGUAGCAAAAUGCGAUACUUGGUGUGAAUUGCA